AAACCAACCCGAUUACAACCCGAUUACAACCCGAGAAUUUAAAACCCCCAAUUCUCAAAAUCCCCAAUUCCCAGAAUCCCUAAUUCUAAGAACCUAAGAACCCUAGAAACUCAGAAAACUCAAAUUGGAGAUUUCAACUGAUGGAUUCAAAUGAGUUGGAGCCGCCGUCGUCUGAUGUUGUCGUUCAUCACCAGCCUUCCGAGUCUGAUCCGCAAGCAGAAGAAGGAGAAGGAAAUCCAGAACCAGACAUUGAACCCGACGAUGAAGACCCACUAGAGCGAGACCAGUUUGAAAUCGAGAAGACUCGAUAAAAAUCACGAGGUUGAAAUUUCGAUUGAGGUUCAAGUUUCCAUAUAUUGAAGGCAACUUAUCCAUGGGGAAAGCAUCGGAAGAAAAAGCAUAUUAACGAUAUAUGGUGAUUUGACUCUUUGUGUGUGUCUCUCUCUCUCCAACAACAAGGAAGUUGGACUGCAGUCCACUUAUUGCAAUGAAAUGGAAAACCACAAAAAGUGAUGAUAAAAGAAUCGAAUCUAGCUAACUACUGAAAAAAUGUCAAAACGUCAAAGGUGAGUUGACCUCUGUUUUUUCCCUCUCUUUGACCUUAAUUUCUCCUUCUUACAGGUGAGGAAUUCUUCAAUACGACUACAAAUUGGGAUAUAUGGAUUAAGCUCUGCUAUUAUAUUCGCGAAGAGCAUUAUGUUGAGGGUAUUGGUGUAUUUCAAAGUUCAAAAUGUCCUCAAAGUGCCCUCCAACUCAUCAUUAUUCAGUUUCGCUUAUUUGCUCUGUUUAAAUCUUACUUAACGUAUUAUUCGUCAUGAAUAUAAGUUAUAAUAUGAUUUACGUUUAAAUGAUUAUGUCUGAUCUUCUUAUUCAAACUUUUAAAUAUGUUUCGUUUUGCCUGUC
Molecule: long non-coding RNA, 903 nt
Organism: Arabidopsis lyrata subsp. lyrata
Lineage: Eukaryota; Viridiplantae; Streptophyta; Magnoliopsida; Brassicales; Brassicaceae
Exons: 2
Source: RefSeq, a predicted model, not a curated record